RNAcentral lists this ribosomal RNA (253 nucleotides) under uncultured bacterium. RNAcentral's name for it is "partial 16S ribosomal RNA". It matches the Rfam family "Bacterial small subunit ribosomal RNA", at positions 524 to 776 of the family's 1533-position model. The record is from RNAcentral.
AACGUAGGUGGCGAGCGUUAUCCGGAUUUACUGGGCGUAAAGCGUGUGCAGGCGGGGAGAUAAGUGGUGUAUUAAAUCGCCCAGCUUAACUGGGCAAGGUUAUGCCAGACUGUCACUCUAGAGUGCGAGAGAGGGGCGUGGAAUUCCGGGUGUAGUGGUGAAAUGCGUAGAGAUCCGGAGGAACCCCAGAGGCGAAGGCGGCGCCCUGGCUCGCAACUGACGCUCAGACACGACAGCAUGGGGAGCGAACGGG